AGUGAACGCUGGCGGUAGGCCUAACACAUGCAAGUCGAACGGCCGCACAGUAAGAGCUUGCUCUUACGGGUGGCGAGUGGCGGACGGGUGAGGAAUACAUCGGCAUCUACUUUUUCGUGGGGGAUAACGUAGGGAAACUUACGCUAAUACAGCAUACGACCUACGGGUGAAAGCAGGGGAUCUUCGGACCUUGCGCGUUUGAAUGAGACGAUGUCGGAUUAGCUAGUUGGCGGGGUAAAGGCCCACCAAGGCGACGCUCCGUAGCUGGUCUGAGAGGAUGAUCAGCCACACUGGAACUGAGACACGGUCCAGACUCCUACGGGAGGCAGCAGUGGGGAAUAUUGGACAAUGGGCGAAAGCCUGAUCCAGCCAUACCGCGUGAGUGAAGAAGGCCUUCGGGUUGUAAAGCCCUGUUGUUGGGAAAGAAAAGCAGCAGGUUAAUACCCCGCUGUUCUGACGGUACCCAAAGAAUAAGCACCGGCUAACUUCGUG
This 492-nucleotide ribosomal RNA is filed under the name uncultured bacterium. RNAcentral describes it as "partial 16S ribosomal RNA". It matches the Rfam family "Bacterial small subunit ribosomal RNA", at positions 29 to 507 of the family's 1533-position model. The record is from RNAcentral.